RNAcentral lists this ribosomal RNA (545 nucleotides) under Caucasocyphonethes cavaticus. RNAcentral's name for it is "partial large subunit ribosomal RNA". It matches the Rfam family "Eukaryotic large subunit ribosomal RNA", at positions 658 to 911 of the family's 3401-position model. Lineage: Eukaryota; Metazoa; Arthropoda; Malacostraca; Isopoda; Trichoniscidae. The record is from RNAcentral.
AACACGGACCAAGGAGUCUAGAAUGUGCGCGAGUCAAAGGGCUGGCUAAACCCCAAGGCGUAACGAAAGUGAAUGGGAGAAGGAAGGUUGCAGUAGGAGAGAGGGCUCGCCCCCGCUCCUACUACGUACCCUAAUCCUCCUCCCUUGGGCCGAUCCGGUUUCGGCUCUCGCAGUCGAAUUUGCCUCAUAUUAACACAUAGGAGGACGGCGCAGGCCCGGGGCUCGCCAGCUUCCUCCCCGCCGCUAACGCUAACGUCGGCUGUCUAGGGUCGUUUUGGUUCGGAACCUUCUCCGUCCGUUAACUCGGCGCCGUUUCUCGUCGUCCCUCGGGGCGUCGGUUUUUCUGCGUCGUUUGACGGGUGGAUCAAGAAGGAAUUCGACGCGACUCCGGACGUCGGCUCGCGGGCGGGGACGAGCGGCGGGUACCUCGAGCGUACAUUCUAGUACCCGAAAGAUGGUGAUCUAUGCCUGGCCAGGAUGAAGCCAGAGGAAACUCUGGUGGAGGUCCGUAGCGGAUUCUGGACGUGCAAAUCGAUCGUCGGAGC